CCCUCCUGGGUCACCUGCUGCUCAGGGAGUUACUGCUGCUCAGUCUGUGGUGACUUUCUCCUUUCCAGUGUGUAAUGUCACCUCAGGUGUCAGGGGCCUGAGGAGCUUGUAUCCUCCUGCAUUCAUGAGAAGCCAAGCAUGCCCUGAAGACAGCACAGGUCCAGAAGCAAGAGGGCAAAAGCUGUGGCAGAGGACUGACUGCCCAGGAGGCCAUAUUGUGCCGGAACAUCAACGGUGCUAUGGCCUUCCUGCCUAGUGCCAAGAACCCACUCAGGGAAAUGGGAAAAUCAAUCUGAGCGUCAUUAAGAGAAAAUUCCCCACAGAAGAUUGCUGGUGACGAUGGAUCUGUCACCUAACUUACCUUCUGCGCCUAACUGGGAUUUCUUCUACAGGGCAUGAGACAGGACAUGGUACUAUUUCAUUGCCUGGAUGCAAGGCUUUUCCUCACUUGCCAAGUUUUCAUUCCAUUGUUCCACGGCCAUCUAUGAAUCCCAUCUCCACCCUGAUUAAUUAGCUUCCAACUCCUUCAUAUUGACCCAACGAUAUUGGCUGGCUUCAUUAGUGUCAGGAAACCUCUAAGAAUGUUUCUGUAGACUCUGAUGAAAUGCCCUUUUCUCUUGCCCUGUUGGAGAUAUACCCCAGGAGCAGGAGGUGAUCCGUCAUGCCGUCUCCUGCACUGCGUGCAGUAAAUGCCAAAAUGAUAGCUCGGCACUCCAUGCAGCUGGGUGUACAUGCUGCCUGGUAACUAGGGAGGGCUCCAUGUCCUCCUUCUGGAACCCCUUGGGACUGCCGUCUUUCCACUUCCGGACGCUGCCUGAAUGGGUCUAAGCACCAAACUCGGCCUGUGGAGGUGCUGGCUGUCCAACUUGCCUCUCAUAGCAGCCCCACAGCUCAGAGAUCAGAGAACCUGAUUUACAAACGUCUGCCUCUUUUGAUCGACUUUGAUCCUCUGGGGAGAGACGGGAGUAAAAGUCUUGAAGCUGAAUGUUUUCUAAUCUGUCACAAAGAGAACCGGAUGGGAAGAAUGAUACAAAAUGCCUGGGAAGGGAGAGGAACUUUAGCUAAGAGCCGUAUGCAUAACGGAUUGUACUCAGUAAAAUGCCUCAUAGGGUGUGGUUACUCACUGUCUGGCUGGAAUUAAAAUUCCAAUAGCUGCUU
Long non-coding RNA from Rattus rattus (black rat), 1158 nucleotides. RefSeq lists it as uncharacterized. The transcript is spliced from 3 exons. Lineage: Eukaryota; Metazoa; Chordata; Mammalia; Rodentia; Muridae. The record is from RefSeq and is a predicted model, not a curated record.